UGGGGAAUAUUGCACAAUGGGCGCAAGCCUGAUGCAGCCAUGCCGCGUGUAUGAAGAAGGCCUUCGGGUUGUAAAGUACUUUCAGCGGGGAGGAAGGCGAUAAGGUUAAUAACCUUGUCGAUUGACGUUACCCGCAGAAGAAGCACCGGCUAACUCCGUGCCAGCAGCCGCGGUAAUACGGAGGGCGCAAGCGUUAAUGGGAAUUACUGGGCGUAAAGCGCACGCAGGCGGUCUGUCAAGUCGGAUGUGAAAUCCCCGGGCUCAACCUGGGAACUGCAUUCGAAACUGGCAGGCUAGAGUCUUGUAGAGGGGGGUAGAAUUCCAGGUGUAGCGGUGAAAUGCGUAGAGAUCUGGAGGAAUACCGGUGGCGAAGGCGGCCCCCUGGACAAAGACUGACGCUCAGGUGCGAAAGCGUGGGGAGCAAACA
Molecule: ribosomal RNA, 427 nt
Filed under: uncultured bacterium
Lineage: Bacteria
Description: partial 16S ribosomal RNA
Rfam family: Bacterial small subunit ribosomal RNA
Source: RNAcentral